CGGGUUCGAUCCCCGGCAACGGCGCCA
Molecule: non-coding RNA, 27 nt
Filed under: Arabidopsis thaliana (thale cress)
Lineage: Eukaryota; Viridiplantae; Streptophyta; Magnoliopsida; Brassicales; Brassicaceae
Also listed under: 1 other name
Source: RNAcentral